RNAcentral lists this small RNA (67 nucleotides) under Domibacillus iocasae. RNAcentral describes it as "Bacillaceae-1 RNA". It matches the Rfam family "Bacillaceae-1 RNA". Lineage: Bacteria; Bacillati; Bacillota; Bacilli; Caryophanales; Bacillaceae. The record is from Rfam by way of RNAcentral.
ACGAGAUGAACAAAGGUUAAGAAUGCGCCUUCCUGUCGCAACGCCUUUGUGACUCACAUCUUGUGAG